This 1844-nucleotide long non-coding RNA is filed under the name Chloebia gouldiae (Gouldian finch). RNAcentral's name for it is "Erythrura gouldiae (Gouldian finch) lncRNA (ENSEGOG00005011449.1)". Lineage: Eukaryota; Metazoa; Chordata; Aves; Passeriformes; Passeridae. The record is from RNAcentral.
GAAAUUUUAAAAAGGGGAAAUUAAAAAUUUGUGGGAAAAAUUUAAAAAAAUUCUGGGGAAAAUUAAAAAAAAAGGGGGGGAUGAGUUUUAGGGUUUUUGGGAUGGAUUUUUGGGGUUUUUUGGGAUGGAUUUGGGGUGGAUUUUUGGGGUUUUUGGGAUGGAUUUUUGGGGUUUUUUGGGAUGGAUUUUUGGGGGUUUUGGGUUGGAUUUUGGGAUGGAUUUUUGGGGUUUUUGGGAUGGAUUUGGGGUGGAUUUUUGGGGUUUUUGGGAUGGAUUUUUGGGGUUUUUUGGGAUGGAUUUUUGGGGGUUUUGGGUUGGAUUUUGGGAUGGAUUUUUGGGGUUUUUGGGAUGGAUUUGGGGUGGAUUUUUGGGGUUUUUGGGAUGGAUUUUUGGGGUUUUUGGUAUGGAUUUUUGGGGAUUUUGGGGUGGAUUUUGAGGUUUCCAGCCCCACGUACCCGCGGCCAUGAAGAGGAUGCCGGGAUGGAUUUUGGGAUGGAUUUGGGAUGGAUUUUCGGGGGUUUUGGGAUGGAUUUUUGGGGUUUCCGGCCCCACGUACCCACAGCCACGAAGAGGAUGCCGGGAUGGAUUUUGGGGUGGAUUUGGGAUGGAUUUUUGGGUUUUUUGGGAUGGAUUUUUGGGAUGGAUUUUUGGGAUGGAUUUUCGGGGUUUUUUGGGAUGGAUUUUCGGGGAUUUUGGGAUGGAUUUUUGGGGUUUCCGGCCCCACGUACCCGCGGCCACGAAGAGGAUGCCGGGAUGGAUUUUGGGAUGGAUUUGGGAUGGAUUUUUGGGGGUUUUGGGUUGGACAUUUGGGAUGGAUUUUUGGGGUUUUUUGGGAUGGAUUUUCGGGGAUUUUGGGGUGGAUUUUUGGGGUUUCCGGCCCCACGUACCCGCGGCCACGAAGAGGAUGCCGGCGCCGAGCACGAGGCUGGUCCUGGCCCGCUGCAGGCGCGAGGCGGCCACGCAGAGCCCCCCCAGCAGCAGCAGCACCGCGCUCAGGAUCGGGAAGAUGCUCGAGGCCCGGACCACACCUGCGGAGCCAAACCGGCCAAUCAGGGCUCAGCACGCCUCGCCCGCGGCCAAUGGCAGCACAGGGGGCUGGCGGCCAAUCAGAGCCCAGGGUUGAAAAGGGAUCUGGGAGUUCUGACCAAUCAGAGCUCGGCAUUGAAAAGGGAUCUGGGAGUUCUGACCAAUCAGAAAAAAGCAUUGAAAAGGGAACCGCGAGUUCUGACCAAUUAGAGCUCAGCAUUGAAAAGGGAUCCGUGAGUUCUGACCAAUCAGAGCCCAGCAUUGAAAAGGGAUCCGGGAGUUCUGACCAAUCAGAGAUCGACAUUGAAAAGGGAUCCGAGAGUUCUGACCAAUCAGAGCCCGGCUUUGAAAAGGGAUCCGGGAGUUCUGCCCAAUCAGAGACCAGCACUGAAAAGGGAUCUGGGAGUUCUGACCAAUCAGGAAAAAGCAUUGAAAAGGGAUCCGGGAGNNNNNNNNNNAUCAGGAAAAAGCAUUGAAAAGGGAUCCGGGAGUUCUGACCAAUCAGAGCCCGGCGUUGAAAAGGGAUCCGGGAGUUCUGGCCAAUCAGAAAACAGCAUUGAAAAGGGAACUGGGAGUUCUGACCAAUCAGAGCCCGGCAUUGAAAAGGGAUCCGGGAGUUCUGACCAAUCAGAGCUCAGCAUUGAAAAGGGAUCCGGGAGUUCUGACCAAUCAGAAAACAGCAUUGAAAAGGGAUCCGGGAGUUCUGACCAAUCAGAGCUCAGUGUUGAAAAGGGAUCCAGGAGUUCUGACCAAUCAGAGCUCAGCAUUGAAAAGGAAACCGGGAGUUCUGGCCAAUCAGAGCCCAGCAUUGAAAAGGG